This 224-nucleotide long non-coding RNA is filed under the name Lathyrus oleraceus (garden pea). RNAcentral describes it as "Pisum sativum (pea) long non-coding RNA (PSAT_LNC010348)". The record is from RNAcentral. Lineage: Eukaryota; Viridiplantae; Streptophyta; Magnoliopsida; Fabales; Fabaceae.
AGUUCUGAUGGUUACUUCAGAUAGCGCUGAGAACUUCUGAAGUUUGACAUACGUUGUUCAGAGUCAGAACUUCUAGAGCGUACUUCUUGUUCAGAUGCUUCUGAUACUUUGCUGUUUUGCUCAGAGUUAGACUUUCCAGAAAGUGUUUCUACUUCAGAUGCUUCUGGUCUUCUGAUAAUUUGUAUCUGAUAUGAUUCUGUAUCUGAUGAAUUCUUCCUUCUUUC